Molecule: ribosomal RNA, 254 nt
Filed under: uncultured bacterium
Lineage: Bacteria
Description: partial 16S ribosomal RNA
Rfam family: Bacterial small subunit ribosomal RNA
Source: RNAcentral
UACGUAGGACCCAAGCGUUAUCCGGAAUUACUGGGCGUAAAGAGUUGCGUAGGCGGCUUGUCAAGCGGAGUGUGAAAUCGUGUGGCUCAACCAUGCGGCUAUGCUCUGAACUGACUGGCUAGAGUAUGGAAGAGGUAACUGGAAUUCCUAGUGUAGGAGUGAAAUCCGUAGAUAUUAGGAGGAACACCGAUGGCGUAGGCAGGUUACUGGUCCAUUACUGACGCUCAGGCACGAAAGCGUGGGGAGCAAACGGG